UUCUUGACUGUCAUCUGCUUGACUUCCCUCAUCAUUGGCCUAGUGACAAAUGUUUUCUAGAUGCCUUCUCCAUGCCCAGCCCUGUGCUAGAGAAUCUUCCCACAUCUCAGAAGACACUUGACAUAUUCCUUGUUGUUGUAUUCUUGGUGGUCAUCAUUGGUUCUGUCUUCGUGAUUUAUUUCUUCUGUCCAACACAACUCCAGAGAGCCAGAGAAGUGGUAUCCAUAGUGCCCAGAUCAAGAAGAUGGAUGGAGAAGUAGCAGGGACCAGCAGGGAUCCUCCUGCCUGGCCUGGGGACAACCACCUUCUGGGUCAGCUACAGGAAGACUCAUCUUCCCGAGUUCAAAUCUGACCUCAGACAUUUACUCACUGUGUGAGACCCAUGGCAA
This is a non-coding RNA of Phascolarctos cinereus (koala), 389 nucleotides long. NCBI's taxonomy places the organism in Eukaryota, Metazoa, Chordata, Mammalia, Diprotodontia, Phascolarctidae. The record is from RefSeq and is a predicted model, not a curated record.